This 17-nucleotide unclassified non-coding RNA is filed under the name Mus musculus (house mouse). Its description in RNAcentral is "oocyte_clustered_small_RNA14138". The record is from RNAcentral. Lineage: Eukaryota; Metazoa; Chordata; Mammalia; Rodentia; Muridae.
GCAAAGCCUCUCCAUGG